This 73-nucleotide transfer RNA is filed under the name Stegodyphus mimosarum. It matches the Rfam family "tRNA". From Rfam's summary of the family: Transfer RNA (tRNA) molecules are approximately 80 nucleotides in length. Their secondary structure includes four short double-helical elements and three loops (D, anti-codon, and T loops). The record is from Rfam by way of RNAcentral. Lineage: Eukaryota; Metazoa; Arthropoda; Arachnida; Araneae; Eresidae.
CCCUUCGUGGUGUAGUGGUCAGCACGCUGGGCGCGUAUUCCAGAGGUCCGUGGUUCGAGUCCCGGCGAAGGCA